UUUAACCAUCAGUGCUAUGCCUAUAUGAAUAAACAAAUAGUGUUUUGUGCUCCUAUGUAAGUAGGUAGAAACUUCAUUGACCGUGUGUGUGUGUGUGUGUGCGCCUAGUCACGUGCCGCUUUGAAUAUUGUGCAACAGGUGACCUCAUUUGCAAGCUGGUGUGUGUGUGUGUGUGUGUGUGUGUGUGUGUGUGUGUGUGUGUGCUAUUCUAUCGCUGGUCAUAGCCUUGAGCCUAUUACGACGAUUCUCUUAAAUGUCCCCUAGUCAGUUGGAGCUACACCGGCAGUGUAUAUCAUUAUCUUUGCGUUUGUCAUCACAAAUGAUAUGAUUUUUACCAACAAAAA
Gadus macrocephalus (Pacific cod) is the source of this 344-nucleotide long non-coding RNA. RefSeq lists it as uncharacterized. The record is from RefSeq and is a predicted model, not a curated record. The transcript has 2 exons. Lineage: Eukaryota; Metazoa; Chordata; Actinopteri; Gadiformes; Gadidae.